RNAcentral lists this long non-coding RNA (915 nucleotides) under Homo sapiens (human). RNAcentral's name for it is "HSALNT0117939". The record is from RNAcentral. Lineage: Eukaryota; Metazoa; Chordata; Mammalia; Primates; Hominidae.
GUGGGCAUUGUUUGGCCGCCAGAGUGUGGCGAGCGCCCAAGAGCCCGAGAGCCUGGCUGGCACGACCGCCCCUGCGUGUCUUUGGCCCCGGACACACAGCAGAGCCGUUUCCCACGCUCUAGGCUCCUGGCAGCCCCAGGAAGGGGAGCGGGCCCUGGCCUUGGAAGAGGGGAAACUGAGGCCUGGAGAAGCACGGAGCUAGGAAGUCGGGGCCAGCAGGAAUGAGACAAGGGGAGGGACGCCGGCUGCUGUGAGGAAUCACUGGGACCUGGUGAUACUGGGACUUGGGUCAGUAAUAGGCUCAAGCUGCAGAGGCCGGUGUCCGAGGCACGGCCAACCCCUCCCCAGCCUGUGUGCCGCUCAGAUUCUCUCUGGCCUCCAAGCCUUUGCUCCUGCUGGCCACUCCACCCCAAAGCCCUUCCCUCACUUUGAUUCCAACACACAAAUUUCCCCGUAAGACGUCACCUCCUCCGAAAUGCCUUCCUCAGCUCCUCCCCAUCCAGUGGGAAGGGCCACAGGUCCUGUUUUGCUUGCCCAUUUCCAGACAUAGCCCAGCUUCUCUUUGGAGACGUGCUCCUCUCCUGUGCUGUGUGGUCUUGGGGUGCAGAAGAUCUCAGGGUCCACCCUCCCAUUGCAGAGACUGAAGGGUACCUGGGGGUCUUCUGGAGGGACCCUUCUCACUGCCUGAAUCAGCCAAGGAUGGGUUGUGUGAUGUCUGCUGAGACUCGGGUGUUGAACGAAGGAUAAAAGCAGGUCUAUUGCUUGUACCGGCCAACCUAUGACCCCCACCAGGCCCCAGGGAGGUGGCAGUGGCUCCUCCUUGGAGGUUUCCAGGCCAAACAGCGCCAGGUCCUGGGCUCAGAGAAGAGAUGGACGAAUGGGGAACCCUUCAGAGGAACAGCCCUGGGGUCAAAC